RNAcentral lists this ribosomal RNA (852 nucleotides) under uncultured Gemmatimonadota bacterium. Its description in RNAcentral is "bacterial SSU rRNA". It matches the Rfam family "Bacterial small subunit ribosomal RNA", at positions 38 to 882 of the family's 1533-position model. The record is from RNAcentral. Lineage: Bacteria; Pseudomonadati; Gemmatimonadota.
GGACCGCGGGGCGCUAACUGCAGUCGACGGGUGUCCUUCGGGGCACCAGUGGCGGACGGGUGCGUAACACGUAAGCGACCUGCCUUCAGGUGGGGGAUAACCCCGGGAAACCGGGGCUAAUACCGCAUGAGCUCCUGGGGCUGCAUGGCUCGGGGAGGAAAGCUCCGUUACAGGAGCGCUUGAAGAGGGGCUUGCGGCGUAUCAGCUAGUUGGCGAGGUAACGGCUCACCAAGGCGACGACGCGUAGGGGGUCUGAGAGGACGGCCCCCCACAUUGGGACUGAGAUACGGCCCAGACUCCUACGGGAGGCAGCAGUGGGGAAUCUUGCGCAAUGGCCGAAAGGCUGACGCAGCGACGCCGCGUGCGGGAGGAAGGUCUUCGGAUCGUAAACCGCUGUCGGGAGGGAAGAAAUCUCCAGGGAGGCAAUGCCCUGGAGUUGACGGUACCUCCAAAGGAAGCACCGGCUAACUCCGUGCCAGCAGCCGCGGUAAUACGGAGGGUGCGAGCGUUGUUCGGAAUUAUUGGGCGUAAAGCGCGCGCAGGCGGCCGCAUAAGUCUAUGGGUGAAAUGCCGGGGCUCAACCCCGCGCGUGCCCAGGAUACUGUGCGGCUGGAGACACGUAGAGGCAAGCGGAAUUCCAGGUGUAGCGGUGAAAUGCGUAGAUAUCUGGAGGAACACCGAUGGCGAAGGCAGCUUCCUGGCCUGUAACUGACGCUGAGGUGCGAAAGCGUGNGGAGCAAACAGGAUUAGAUACCCUGGUAGUCCACGCCGUANACGAUGAGUGCUAGGUGUCAGGGGUAUCGACCCCCCUGGUGCCGGAGCUAACGCAUUAAGCACUCCGCCUGGGGAGUA